RNAcentral lists this ribosomal RNA (253 nucleotides) under uncultured bacterium. RNAcentral describes it as "partial 16S ribosomal RNA". It matches the Rfam family "Bacterial small subunit ribosomal RNA", at positions 524 to 776 of the family's 1533-position model. The record is from RNAcentral.
UACGGGGGGUGCGAGCGUUGUCCGGAAUCACUGGGCGUAAAGGGCGCGUAGGUGGCGCGGGAAGUCAACGGUGAAAGUUCGGGGCUCAACCCUGAAUCGGCCGUCGAUACUCCCGGGCUCGAGCACUGUAGAGGCAGAUGGAAUUCCGGGUGUAGCGGUGGAAUGCGUAGAGAUCCGGAAGAACACCGGUGGCGAAGGCGGUCUGCUGGGCAGUUGCUGACACUGAUGCGCGACAGCGUGGGGAGCAAACAGG